This 497-nucleotide ribosomal RNA is filed under the name uncultured bacterium. Its description in RNAcentral is "partial 16S ribosomal RNA". It matches the Rfam family "Bacterial small subunit ribosomal RNA", at positions 28 to 507 of the family's 1533-position model. The record is from RNAcentral.
GAUGAACGCUGGCGGCGUGCCUAAUACAUGCAAGUCGAGCGAACAGACGAGGAGCUUGCUCCUCUGACGUUAGCGGCGGACGGGUGAGUAACACGUGGAUAACCUACCUAUAAGACUGGGAUAACUUCGGGAAACCGGAGCUAAUACCGGAUAAUAUAUUUAACCGCAUGGUUCAAUAGUGAAAGACGGUUUUGCUGUCACUUAUAGAUGGAUCCGCGCCGCAUUAGCUAGUUGGUAAGGUAACGGCUUACCAAGGCAACGAUGCGUAGCCGACCUGAGAGGGUGAUCGACCACACUGGAACUGGGACACGGUCCAGACUCCUACGGGAGGCAGCAGUAGGGAAUCUUCCGCAAUGGGCGAAAGCCUGACGGAGCAACGCCGCGUGAGUGAUGAAGGUCUUCGGAUCGUAAAACUCUGUUAUUAGGGAAGAACAAAUGUGUAAGUAACUAUGCACGUCUUGACGGUACCUAAUCAGAAAGCCACGGCUAACUACGUG